RNAcentral lists this transfer RNA (51 nucleotides) under Myodes glareolus (Bank vole). RNAcentral's name for it is "partial tRNA-Thr". The record is from RNAcentral. Lineage: Eukaryota; Metazoa; Chordata; Mammalia; Rodentia; Cricetidae.
GCCCUGAUAGUAUAAACAUUACACUGGUCUUGUAAACCAGAAAUGAAAAAC